Molecule: ribosomal RNA, 251 nt
Filed under: Streptomyces sp.
Lineage: Bacteria; Bacillati; Actinomycetota; Actinomycetes; Kitasatosporales; Streptomycetaceae
Description: partial 16S ribosomal RNA
Rfam family: Bacterial small subunit ribosomal RNA
Source: RNAcentral
CGGCUUGUCACGUCGGAUGUGAAAGCCCGGGGCUUAACCCCGGGUCUGCAUUCGAUACGGGCAGGCUAGAGUUCGGUAGGGGAGAUCGGAAUUCCUGGUGUAGCGGUGAAAUGCGCAGAUAUCAGGAGGAACACCGGUGGCGAAGGCGGAUCUCUGGGCCGAUACUGACGCUGAGGAGCGAAAGCGUGGGGAGCGAACAGGAUUAGAUACCCUGGUAGUCCACGCCGUAAACGUUGGGAACUAGUGUGGGC